Corylus avellana is the source of this 426-nucleotide non-coding RNA. The record is from RefSeq and is a predicted model, not a curated record. NCBI's taxonomy places the organism in Eukaryota, Viridiplantae, Streptophyta, Magnoliopsida, Fagales, Betulaceae.
GGUCUUGUUUUUUUAUCCGUGAUUCUAAAAGUUGAAUUGGUCUCGAGGGAACCCUUCCACGGUCAUUUUGGAUGGAAUUUGAUCCGAAAUGAUGCUCAGACACCACAUUGUAUAGAUCAAAACACUUUCUACUAUCUCUUAACCCCAACGAGAGCGCUCUAAAGUACAAGCCAAAUAACAACGGCCUCAUUGCACAACAAUCAGAAUCUGGAAGUUCAAAGAGCUGGGUGACAAUUACAAGAAGCAAGAGGCAGGCAAAUAGAUUCUAUGAUCCUGUGAGGCUUGAAUGCCUGAAGGCAAAUAGGUACUGAAAAUUUGGACUUAUCAUGCGUACAAAAUCGAGAUCAUGGGAAUAUUGCUCUCUUCUUUUCUGCAGUAGAGGCUUUGAAUUGUCAAUUUGUAUCUUCUCCUGAAAGCUGGCAUGUA